AUACGUAGGGGGCGAGCGUUGUCCGGAAUGAUUGGGCGUAAAGGGCGCGUAGGCGGCCCGGUAAGUCUGGAGUGAAAGUCCUGUUUUUGAGAUGGGAAUUGCUUUGGAUACUGUCGGGCUUGAGUGCAGGAGAGGUAAGUGGAAUUCCCAGUGUAGCGGUGAAAUGCGUAGAGAUUGGGAGGAACACCAGUGGCGAAGGCGACUUACUGGACUGUAACUGACGCUGAGGCGCGAAAGUGUGGGGAGCAAACAGGAUUAGAUACCCUGGUAGUCCACACUGUAAACGAUGAAUGCUAGGUGUAGGGGGUAUCGACCCCUUCUGUGCCGCAGUCAACACAAUAAGCAUUCCGCCUGGGGAGUACGGCCGCAAGGUUGAAACUCAAAUGAAUUGACGGG
This 396-nucleotide ribosomal RNA is filed under the name uncultured bacterium. Its description in RNAcentral is "partial 16S ribosomal RNA". It matches the Rfam family "Bacterial small subunit ribosomal RNA", at positions 523 to 917 of the family's 1533-position model. The record is from RNAcentral.